Nothoprocta perdicaria is the source of this 509-nucleotide long non-coding RNA. RefSeq lists it as uncharacterized. NCBI's taxonomy places the organism in Eukaryota, Metazoa, Chordata, Aves, Tinamiformes, Tinamidae. The record is from RefSeq and is a predicted model, not a curated record. The transcript is spliced from 3 exons.
UAAAGGAGGAAUGAGGAAGGAGGAUUUAUCACCCUAAAGAAGAUAAAACUUACCAAAUUGUGAUUGUUUAUAAAAACCUUCCUGAGAUCUCUGAUGAAAAGAUAGUAGUGAAAAAGUUGAGUACCUCAAAGGAAUCUUAUUUUUUGAUCCUGGUAUUUGUUUCAAUUUGUGACUCGGCACAGUUUAAUCAGCAACUGAGGGGACCACUGACUACUAUGAGAAGAGAUGGAAUACUGUUCAUUUUGGGUGUCCCCAGACUUUAGAUUGCUGACAAUCUCUGAAGUGUUUGUAACUAACAGUAUGCUGCUGUUCUUUCAACUUCAAAAGAUUCCAGGUAACUGCUAUCAGGAGUUCCCAGUCUCUGAACCAGAGGAUGCUAAUAAGAUACUCUUGCAAAUAUGUUCAGACCUGUUGGAAGAAAAUUAUCCCAACAGCUCAGGAAUGUAAUGAAUAUCUUACAUCUUCUAUAGUAAAUAAACCAUGCAGAUAAAUCUGAAGUAUGUCUGUUG